This 254-nucleotide ribosomal RNA is filed under the name uncultured bacterium. RNAcentral describes it as "partial 16S ribosomal RNA". It matches the Rfam family "Bacterial small subunit ribosomal RNA", at positions 524 to 776 of the family's 1533-position model. The record is from RNAcentral.
CACGUAGGGGGCGAGCGUUGUCCGGAUUUAUUGGGCGUAAAGAGCUCGUAGGCGGUUCGGCAAGUCGGGUGUGAAAUUUCGAGGCUCAACCUCGAAACGCCACUCGAUACUGCUGUGACUGGAGUCCGGUAGAGGAGUGCGGAAUUCCUGGUGUAGCGGUGAAAUGCGUAGAUAUCGAGAGGAACACCUGCGGCGAAGGCGGGUUGCUGGGCUGACACUGACGCUGAGGCGCGAAAGCUAGGGGAGCGAACGGG